Molecule: ribosomal RNA, 478 nt
Filed under: uncultured bacterium
Lineage: Bacteria
Description: partial 16S ribosomal RNA
Rfam family: Bacterial small subunit ribosomal RNA
Source: RNAcentral
GACGAACGCUGGCGGCGUGCUUAACACAUGCAAGUCGAACGGUAAGGCCCUUCGGGGUACACGAGUGGCGAACGGGUGAGUAACACGUGGGUGAUCUGCCCUGCACUUCGGGAUAAGCCUGGGAAACUGGGUCUAAUACCGGAUAGGACUCCUGCCUGCAUGGGUGGGGGUGGAAAGCUUUUGCGGUGUGGGAUGGGCCCGCGGCCUAUCAGCUUGUUGGUGGGGUGAUGGCCUACCAAGGCGACGACGGGUAGCCGGCCUGAGAGGGUGACCGGCCACACUGGGACUGCGAUAGUGCCCAGACUCCUACGGGAGGCAGCAGUGGGGAAUAUUGCACAAUGGGCGCAAGCCUGAUGCAGCGACGCCGCGUGAGGGAUGACGGCCUUCGGGUUGUAAACCUCUUUCAGCACAGACGAAGCGCAAGUGACGGUAUGUGCAGAAGAAGGACCGGCCAACUACGUGCCAGCCGCCGCGGUAA